RNAcentral lists this long non-coding RNA (564 nucleotides) under Strigops habroptila (Kakapo). RNAcentral describes it as "lncRNA (ENSSHBG00005014314.1)". The record is from RNAcentral. Lineage: Eukaryota; Metazoa; Chordata; Aves; Psittaciformes; Psittacidae.
ACUUGGUGAAGGGAUCGGGGCAGUGCUAAUAACUCACUCUUCGGGAAGGCAGAGCGUGGCUGAUGAGACAUAGGGUGCACUAUCCACAUCAAACCGAAUCAAAACUUUCCGACUCCUCUGUGCAAACUUGAAAGUGCCUGUGCUGUUUGUGCUACCGCUUAAAUGUCUGGAGAGGUGACAGAUCCCUUUUGAAACACCAGCAGCCUUUUGUGUUACGUUGAAUCUAACAAACAGGAGCGUACACAGUGACUGUCACAUGAGUUCCCCAAGGAUAAUGGACCCUAAGAUGCGAGAGACUGAAGGAGAUGGAGAGGACAAUUCAGGAAAGAAGAAAUCAAAGUUCAAGUCUUUCAAAAAGUUUUUUGGUAAGAAGAAAAGGAAAGAGUCAUCUUCUGGGAGCAGCACUCUGAAGUUGUUCCAGUCAACAAGUGAUGUUGCAGCCUCUCAUAACAUGCACGUUAAUUAUGAUUCUGAAGAUGAACUUGAGUAAGUCUUUGGACUCUGGUUGGUAAACAAAUACAGAACUGCUACAAUGUUUGUAGAUUAAAGACACCCUAGAAUUGC